CCCCCCUCCCCCUCCUAAACUACUACACUGGUACCAGGUGUUGGACAGAACCAUUGGAGGCGUACCCCCCUCCCCCUCCUAAACUACUACACUGGUACCAGGUGUUGGACAGAACCAUUGGAGGCGUACCCCCCCUCCCCCUCCUAAACUACUACACUGGUACCAGGUGUUGGACAGAACCAUUGGAGGCGUACUCCCCCCUCCCCCUCCUAAACUACUACACUGGUACCAGGUGUUGGACAGAACCAUUGGAAGCAUGUCCCAGCCCAGUUUUAGUCACAGUGCAUUUUUCAGAGGCAUAGAUCUAUGAUUGUUCAUAAUUGAUGUGCUAAAAUAUAUAGCAGAAGAGCUAUUGUUAAUGAACUUCUUCAGCUUCUAGUGUAUUCUAUAUUUACCACAUAUCCACUCCCAUACAAUAUGUUUUGACAGGUGAAGCAAGCUCACGGGGGCAGCAGGUAGCUUAGUGCUUAGAGCGUUGGACUAGUAACCGAAAGGUUGCUAGAUCGAAUCCCCGUGCCGACAAGGUAAAAAUCUGUCGUUCUGCCUCUGAACAAGGCAGUAUAGGGGGUCUAUAAAAUCCAAUCGAUUUUCUCCUCAAAUUAUGUUUUCUC
Molecule: long non-coding RNA, 611 nt
Filed under: Salmo salar (Atlantic salmon)
Lineage: Eukaryota; Metazoa; Chordata; Actinopteri; Salmoniformes; Salmonidae
Description: lncRNA (ENSSSAG00000089823.1)
Source: RNAcentral